RNAcentral lists this ribosomal RNA (253 nucleotides) under uncultured bacterium. RNAcentral describes it as "partial 16S ribosomal RNA". It matches the Rfam family "Bacterial small subunit ribosomal RNA", at positions 524 to 776 of the family's 1533-position model. The record is from RNAcentral.
UACGGAGGAUGCAAGCGUUAUCCGGAUUUACUGGGUUUAAAGGGUGCGUAGGCGGCUUUGUAAGUCAGUGGUGAAAGCUCCCAGCUUAACUGGGAAAUUGCCAUUGAUACUGCAUAGCUUGAGUACAGUUGAGGUAGGCGGAAUAUGUCAUGUAGUGGUGAAAUACUUAGAUAUGACAUAGAACACCGAUUGCGAAGGCAGCUUGCUAAACUGUAACUGACGCUGAGGCACGAAAGCGUGGGGAGCAAACAGG